Molecule: unclassified non-coding RNA, 352 nt
Filed under: fungal sp.
Lineage: Eukaryota; Fungi
Description: partial internal transcribed spacer region
Rfam family: Eukaryotic small subunit ribosomal RNA (bases 1-46)
Source: RNAcentral
AAGUCGUAACAAGGUUUCCGUAGGUGAACCUGCGGAAGGAUCAUUAACACUUUUUCAAUAAGGUUUUUUUCUUUUGAAAAAACUAUUCUACCCACCUUUUGGAUGAACUUUUUUGAUGGAAGGAUAUAUCACAGCUUCGGUUGUAUAUAUCUUCUUUAUCAUUUUUUUCAUUAUUUCAACUUUUUAACCCCAAAAAACCAAUUUAUUUACAAAUUGCUAUAUCUUGAAAAGCCUAACAUGUGUGUGGGUUUGUUGUGUGAUCAAUUCGCUUUGAUCACCCGUACCAAACUUAUCACUCAAGAAAUCCUAAAAACUAAGAAAACAACUCUUAACAACGGAUAUCUUGGCUCUC